UCCGUAGGUGAACCUGCGGAGGGAUCAUUACCGAGUUUACAACUCCCAAACCCAAUGUGAACGUUACCAAACUGUUGCCUCGGCGGGAUCUCUGCCCCGGGUGCGUCGCAGCCCCGGACCAAGGCGCCCGCCGGAGGACCAACCAAAACUCUUUUUGUAUACCCCCUCGCGGGUUUUUUAUAAUCUGAGCCUUCUCGGCGCCUCUCGUAGGCGUUUCGAAAAUGAAUCAAAACUUUCAACAACGGAUCUCUUGGUUCUGGCAUCGAUGAAGAACGCAGCGAAAUGCGAUAAGUAAUGUGAAUUGCAGAAUUCAGUGAAUCAUCGAAUCUUUGAACGCACAUUGCGCCCGCCAGUAUUCUGGCGGGCAUGCCUGUCCGAGCGUCAUUUCAACCCUCGAACCCCUCCGGGGGGUCGGCGUUGGGGAUCGGCCCUGCCUCUUGGCGGUGGCCGUCUCCGAAAUACAGUGGCGGUCUCGCCGCAGCCUCUCCUGCGCAGUAGUUUGCACACUCGCAUCGGGAGCGCGGCGCGUCCACAGCCGUUAAACACCCAACUUCUGAAAUGUUGACCUCGGAUCAGGUAGGAAUACCCGCUGAACUUAAGCAUAUCAAUAAGCGGAGGAA
RNAcentral lists this ribosomal RNA (620 nucleotides) under Trichoderma harzianum. RNAcentral's name for it is "eukaryotic LSU rRNA". The stretch from base 231 to 384 matches the Rfam family "5.8S ribosomal RNA". Lineage: Eukaryota; Fungi; Ascomycota; Sordariomycetes; Hypocreales; Hypocreaceae. The record is from RNAcentral.